UACGGAGGGAGCUAGCGUUGUUCGGAAUUACUGGGCGUAAAGCGCGCGUAGGCGGCUUUGUAAGUUAGAGGUGAAAGCCCGGGGCUCAACCCCGGAAUUGCCUUUAAGACUGCAUCGCUUGAAUCCGGGAGAGGUGAGUGGAAUUCCGAGUGUAGAGGUGAAAUUCGUAGAUAUUCGGAAGAACACCAGUGGCGAAGGCGGCUCACUGGAACGGUACUGACGCUGAGACGCGAAAGCGUGGGGAGCAAACAGG
Molecule: ribosomal RNA, 253 nt
Filed under: uncultured bacterium
Lineage: Bacteria
Description: partial 16S ribosomal RNA
Rfam family: Bacterial small subunit ribosomal RNA
Source: RNAcentral